This 384-nucleotide ribosomal RNA is filed under the name Variovorax paradoxus. RNAcentral's name for it is "bacterial SSU rRNA". It matches the Rfam family "Bacterial small subunit ribosomal RNA", at positions 102 to 479 of the family's 1533-position model. Lineage: Bacteria; Pseudomonadati; Pseudomonadota; Betaproteobacteria; Burkholderiales; Comamonadaceae. The record is from RNAcentral.
ACGGGUGAGUAAUACAUCGGAACGUGCCCAAUCGUGGGGGAUAACGGCAGCGAAAGCUGUGCUAAUAACCGCAUACCGAUCUACGGAUGAAAGCAGGGGAUCGCAAGACCUUGCGCGAAUGGAGCGGCCGAUGGCAGAUUAGGUAGUUGGUGAGGUAAAGGCUCACCAAGCCUUCGAUCUGUAGCUGGUUUGAGAGGACGACCAGCCACACUGGGACUGAGACACGGCCCAGACUCCUACGGGAGGCAGCAGUGGGGAAUUUUGGACAAUGGGCGCAAGCCUGAUCCAGCCAUGCCGCGUGCAGGAUGAAGGCCUUCGGGUUGUAAACUGCUUUUGUACGGAACGAAACGGCCUUUUCUAAUAAAGAGGGCUAAUGACGGUACC